GAUGAACGCUGGCGGCGUGCCUAAUACAUGCAAGUCGAGCGAACAGACGAGGAGCUUGCUCCUCUGACGUUAGCGGCGGACGGGUGAGUAACACGUGGAUAACCUACCUAUAAGACUGGGAUAACUUCGGGAAACCGGAGCUAAUACCGGAUAAUAUAUUGAACCGCAUGGUUCAAUAGUGAAAGACGGGUUUGCUGUCACUUAUAGAUGGAUCCGCGCCGCAUUAGCUAGUUGGUAAGGUAACGGCUUACCAAGGCAACGAUGCGUAGCCGACCUGAGAGGGUGAUCGGCCACACUGGAACUGAGACACGGUCCAGACUCCUACGGGAGGCAGCAGUAGGGAAUCUUCCGCAAUGGGCGAAAGCUUGACGGAGCAACGCCGCGUGAGUGAUGAAGGUCUUCGGAUCGUAAAACUCUGUUAUUAGGGAAGAACAAAUGUGUAAGUAACUAUGCACGUCUUGACGGUACCUAAUCAGAAAGCCACGGCUAACUACGUG
RNAcentral lists this ribosomal RNA (497 nucleotides) under uncultured bacterium. RNAcentral's name for it is "partial 16S ribosomal RNA". It matches the Rfam family "Bacterial small subunit ribosomal RNA", at positions 28 to 507 of the family's 1533-position model. The record is from RNAcentral.